UACAGAGGUCCCGAGCGUUGUUCGGAUUCACUGGGCGUAAAGGGUGCGUAGGCGGCUUAGCAAGUCUGAUGUGAAAUCUCCAGGCCCAACCUGGAAAUGGCAUUAGAAACUGCUGGGCUGGAGGCUUGGAGGGGGAACUGGAAUGCUCGGUGUAGCAGUGAAAUGCGUAGAGAUCGAGCGGAACACCAGUGGCGAAGGCGAGUUCCUGGACAAGACCUGACGCUGAGGCACGAAAGCCAGGGGAGCAAACAGG
Molecule: ribosomal RNA, 253 nt
Filed under: uncultured prokaryote
Description: partial 16S ribosomal RNA
Rfam family: Bacterial small subunit ribosomal RNA
Source: RNAcentral